CCCUGCCCCGGUACCGCGCCUCUGGGUGGAUCCCUAUCUCAGCGUUGCCGCAGGAUCUUCUAACUUUGAACCCCAGCCUCCGGCCUGGGCUGGAACUUGUCACCUGUCUCCUGCAAAUCUCAGGAUGUGGCCCUCAUCGCCCAAGAUUCAUGCUUCGAGGUUUUUGUAUGGUGUAAAUAGCAAACAAGACGGAUGGGACAUGUUUCAAUGGCUGGUAUUUAUUUUCACCGCACAGUGACCAAUCUUUGCAGCAAAUGUCACAGAAGGUUUCCAUUCAAUACCAUGGAAUUAUUUGUGACUCCAAACUCUGCUCGCUGAUAGCAAAGUCAAGGCUCACAUCUUUUUGCUGUGUCUGCUUUUCCUGGCUGGCUAUCUUCAGCUGGUGCUUCAACUUGUUUUCAACCAUCAAACCUCCUUUCCUCCAGAUGGCACCUCUCUUUGUACUGUGAUGCUCACGAUGAAUGACUACAGUAAGAAGACUAAGGACAAUGUCACCUCGCUGUACAAGAAAAACAACAGGCUGUCUGCUGCAACUCUUUUUCUUUGGAGUUUCCCAGGAACAUUUUUUUUUUCGUUCAUGGUCUGUCUCUCAAUUUUUAAAUGAUUCGUUGUCCUUUUGUUGAUGACAAAUCCAGAUAGCCCCCUCUGAUCUCUACGCUCAAAUUAUUUUAAGUCAGUCUGAAAUCAUUGUCUUUUAAUUGCAAGCUUCUCUGAGUAAUUAUUUUGUUGAGAGGCAAUCUUAGAUUAUGCGUUUCAGCAAUCCCAAUUUCUACUGUCGGUCAACCUUGACAUUUUUAGUAUCAUUUUAACAUAGUUAAACAAUUGGAUGUAAUUUUACUUGUUGUUAUAUUUAUGUUCCAUUAGCCACUAUGCUAUCAAAAGCAUGCCAUUUGAUGACCAUAUUGGGAUAUGUUGAUGGCAUCUACAGAAUUGGAUUGUGUGGUAUUAACGACAGUGCCUAUCAGGCCUUCAACCAUUCGUUUUCUCAAGUCUCAUCACAAACGGUGAAAGUGAUGCCUUGCUCCAAUCUGAUUUCAAACGAAAAUAAUGUUACUGAAAUAAACUGUCUGUGUAUGCUGUUAAGCAUAUUUUGUUCCUCUUGUGGUGCUGUGAAGUUUAAUUUGAAGCAUUGAGAGCCAGUCCUUGAGUCAUGACUCUGUACCAAACAGUGUUACAUACUUUCUC
Long non-coding RNA from Thrips palmi, 1185 nucleotides. RefSeq lists it as uncharacterized. The record is from RefSeq and is a predicted model, not a curated record. Lineage: Eukaryota; Metazoa; Arthropoda; Insecta; Thysanoptera; Thripidae. The transcript is spliced from 4 exons.